This 494-nucleotide ribosomal RNA is filed under the name uncultured bacterium. Its description in RNAcentral is "partial 16S ribosomal RNA". It matches the Rfam family "Bacterial small subunit ribosomal RNA", at positions 28 to 507 of the family's 1533-position model. The record is from RNAcentral.
GACGAACGCUGGCGGCGUGCUUGACACAUGCAAGUCGAACGGAAAGGCCUGCUUUCCCUUGUGGAUUGCGGGUACUCGAGUGGCGAACGGGUGAGUAACACGUGAGUGAUCUGCCCCCAACUUGGGUAUAAGCCUGGGAAACUGGGUCUAAUUCCCGAUAGGACUGCAGGGUGGUGCCUGUGGUGGAAAACGAUUUUCUAGUGGUUGGGGAUGAGCUCGCGGCCUAUCAGCUUGUUGGUGGGGUAAUGGCCUACCAAGGCGGCGACGGGUAGCCGGCCUGGGAGGGUGGACGGCCACAUUGGGACUGGGAUACGGCCCAGACUCCUACGGGAGGGAGCAGUGGGGCAUAUUGCACCAUGGGCGGAAGCCUGAUGCAGCGACGCCGCGUGGGGGAUGACGGCCUUCGGGUUGUAAACUCCUUUCGACCGCGAGGAAGCCACCUGGUUGGAAGGGUGGUGACGGUAGUGGUAGAAGAAGCACCGGCUAACUACGUG